GCGGAAGUGGCGGAAUGGCAGACGCGCUUGGUUGAGGGCCAAGUGCCCGCAAGGGCAUGGAGGUUCAAGUCCUCUCUUCCGCACCA
RNAcentral lists this transfer RNA (86 nucleotides) under Planctomycetota bacterium. RNAcentral describes it as "tRNA-Leu". It matches the Rfam family "tRNA". Rfam says of the family: Transfer RNA (tRNA) molecules are approximately 80 nucleotides in length. Lineage: Bacteria; Pseudomonadati; Planctomycetota. The record is from RNAcentral.